GACGAACGCUGGCGGCGUGCUUAACACAUGCAAGUCGAGCGGAAAGGCCCUGCUUGUGUCGGGUGCUCGCGUGGCGAACGCGUGUGUAGCCCGUGAGUCACCUUCCCUUUACUUUGUGAUAACUUCAAGAAACUGGUGCUAAUACCGGAUAGGUGCGCCUGCUGCAUGGGGGGCGUUGGACAGUUUCGGCGGUUGUGGAUCGACUCGCGGGUUAUCAGCUUGUGGGUGGGGUGGUGGCUUACCAGGGCUUUGACGGGUAGCCGGCCUGGGAGGGUGACCGGCGACAUGGGUACUAAGAUAGGGCACAGAGUCGAACGUGAGGCAGCAGUGGGAAAUAUUGCACAAUGGGGGCAAGUGUGAUAAAAAAAGGUCGCGAGCGGGAUGAAGGCCAUCGGGUGGGAAAAGGCAGUAGGUUGAGACGAAGCGUGAGUGACGUUAAUGAGAAAAGAAGCACCGGCUAACUACGUG
This 468-nucleotide ribosomal RNA is filed under the name uncultured bacterium. RNAcentral's name for it is "partial 16S ribosomal RNA". It matches the Rfam family "Bacterial small subunit ribosomal RNA", at positions 28 to 507 of the family's 1533-position model. The record is from RNAcentral.